Molecule: ribosomal RNA, 503 nt
Filed under: uncultured bacterium
Lineage: Bacteria
Description: partial 16S ribosomal RNA
Rfam family: Bacterial small subunit ribosomal RNA
Source: RNAcentral
GAUGAACGCUAGCGAUAGGCCUAACACAUGCAAGUCGAGGGGCAUCACGGAGUAGCAAUACUUUGGUGGCGACCGGCGCACGGGUGAGUAACGCGUAUGCAAUCUACCUACAACAGGGGGAUAACCCGGAGAAAUCCGGACUAAUACCGCAUAACACAGGGGUCCCGCAUGGGAAUAUUUGUUAAAGAUUUCUCGGUUGUAGAUGAGCAUGCGUUCCAUUAGGUAGUUGGUGAGGUAACGGCCAACCAAGCCUGCGAUGGAUAGCGGAACUGAGAGGUUUGUCCCCCACAAUGGAACUGAGGCACGGACCAGACUCCUACGGGAGGCAGCAGUGAGGAAUAUUGGUCAAUGGGCGAGGGCCUGAACCAGCCAAAUCGCGUGAAGGAAGACUGCCUUAUGGGUUGUAAACUUCUUUUGUACAGGAAUAAAAAGAGGGACGUGUCCUUCAUUGCAUGUACUGUACGAAUAAGCAUCGGCUAACUCCGUGCCAGCAGCCGCAGUAA